Molecule: long non-coding RNA, 653 nt
Filed under: Homo sapiens (human)
Lineage: Eukaryota; Metazoa; Chordata; Mammalia; Primates; Hominidae
Description: long intergenic non-protein coding RNA 2511
Source: RNAcentral
GAAACAAAGGAGAGUGGAUGAAGAACACAGCAGCCUGCCUCCACAGCUUUGGUUUCUAAUGUCACUGCAGCUGUGCCGUUCAAUAGUGAAUAGUCUUACUGUCAAUGAAUCGAUGUGCAAAUAAUUUCCUUGGGAGGAACUCUUUAUAAAUGACACAAACAAAUGGAAAAACGUUCCAUGCACAUGGAUAGGAAGAAUCAAUAUCGUUAAAUGGCCAUACAGUUCAAAGAAAUUUACAGAUGCAAUGCUAUUUCUAAAAACUACCAAUGACAUUCUUUACAGAAUUAGAAAAACUAUUUUAAAAUUCAUAUGGGCUAGGAGCAGUGGCUCAUGCCUGUAAUCCCAACAUUUUGGAAGGCUGAGGUGGGAGGAUCACUCGAGCUCAGGAGUUCGAGACCAGCCUGGGUAACAUAGUGAGAGCCUGUCUCUAUGAAAAAACAAAAAAUUUGUUCAGGCAUGAUGGUGUGCACCUCUAGUCCCUGCUACUCAGGAAGAUGAGGCAGAAGGAUCACUUUGAGCCUGGGAGGUUGAGGCUGCAGUGGGCCAUGACUGUGCCACUGCUCUCCAGCCCAACCACCACCACCAAAAAAAAAAAAAAAAAAAAAAAAAAAAUUCACAUGGAACAAAAAAAGAGCCAGAAUAGCCAAGAAAAA